GAAGAAGCUCUAUCAUUCCAAUAUCUGCAGUUUCACAUGCGAGGUGAAGCAACGAGCAUCCAUGAAGACCUUCCGAUACACUGUCUUCACCAGUACUUGUAGAGCUAGACGACGGCUCCAGAAAACCAGAAUACUGAUCAAAGGAGGUUUGUUCUUGAUACAGAGCUAAUCUGGCAAGGGUAAGAGUAGUGUUACAAGUUCCUUGACCAUAUUUAGUAUUUACAUCUGCAUCAGAGUUAACUAUGAGUCUAUACGCAGCCUUCUUAUCAUUAGCACGUACAGCAUCCCACAUCUGUUGUGCCACUGAACGAUUUUCCUUGGAUUUCCGCAUGAAAAUUUUUUCUGCAUACUGCAGUAAAGAAAAGAAGUUAUGCAUGCUGUAUCAGGAAAAUAAAUUUGAAUAAUCACCCACUAGAAGGUAUCACAGAUCACAUUUGCCUGAGUUAUUUAUUACAUGGCUCCAGAAAACCAGAAUACUGAUCAAAGGAGGUUUGUUCUUGAUACAGAGCUAAUCUGGCAAGGGUAAGAGUAGUGUUACAAGUUCCUUGACCAUAUUUAGUAUUUACAUCUGCAUCGGAGUUAACUAUGAGUCUAUACGCAGCCUUCUUAUCAUUAGCACGUACAGCAUCCCACAUCUG
This 638-nucleotide long non-coding RNA is filed under the name Olea europaea (common olive). Its description in RNAcentral is "long non-coding RNA (OEUR_LNC002908)". Lineage: Eukaryota; Viridiplantae; Streptophyta; Magnoliopsida; Lamiales; Oleaceae. The record is from RNAcentral.